This 985-nucleotide long non-coding RNA is filed under the name Nicotiana benthamiana. RNAcentral describes it as "long non-coding RNA (NBEN_LNC017582)". The record is from RNAcentral. Lineage: Eukaryota; Viridiplantae; Streptophyta; Magnoliopsida; Solanales; Solanaceae.
UUUAUUUUUAACUUCGCUCGUGUGUUUAGUUGGCAAUCACAACUCUGAUUCUUUAAAGACAAAAUUGAGAUCAUCCACAAGCGAAAGGCUACAAUAAUCUCUCUCUCUCUUUCUCUCUCUCUCUAGAAGAUUUUGAGAAGUAUCUCAGAUCCAAAUCAAUAACACACUUCUGAGAUCCAAUCAGAAACAAUGUCUUCGACUUUCAGCGGCGAUGAAACUGCUCCCUUCUUCGGCUUUCUCGGCGCUGCUGCCGCCUUAGUCUUCUCCUGUAAGUAAACAAAACAAUGAAAACUGUUCUUUUUUUUGUAGAUACGAUCUUGAAUUUUUAAUUACUUUAUUAAAUUGGAUCAUUAUGUUGAAAAGUUCAUAUUUUUAUUCCUUUUUUUGGCUCAACGGUUCUGUGUUCAAAAUGUUCUUGAUACGGCUUUCUCGGCGCUGCUGCGGCCUUGGUCUUCUCCUGUAAGUAAACAAAACAAUGAAAACUGGUCUUUUUUUUAAGAUACGAUCUUAAAUUUGUAAUUACCUUAUUAAAUUGGAUCAUUAUGUUGAAAAGUUCAUAUUUUUAUUCCUUUUUUUAGCUCAACGGUUCUGUGUUCAAAAAGUUCAUGGUAGUGGUCAACUGUCUUCUUAAAAGUUCCGUACUUUAUCCUGUUUUAUGUUCUUUUUCCAUUAUCCAAUAUGUAUGCGUGUCUUUAGUAGUUUUGAUAAAUUUUUAUGUAUAUACUUUGCGCACACACUGAUUGUAUGCUUGAUCUGAGUUCAGUGUAUGCACAGAGGAGGAUCCAGGAUUUGAACUAUAUGAGUUCUUCAUUCUAGGAUGCGACCUCAAGUGCUAGUAAUUAGGUUCUGAAUUAACUUUUAUACAUAUUUAAUGGAUUUUAAUACUUAUACUGGGCAAAACUAUUGGGUUCUGCCGAAUCUAUAUCUUACCCCUGCAUAUGCGCGUUUAGUAUGUGUGUGUCUCGAACAAUGUCGAUAAUUGUAU